Molecule: non-coding RNA, 251 nt
Organism: Zootoca vivipara (common lizard)
Lineage: Eukaryota; Metazoa; Chordata; Lepidosauria; Squamata; Lacertidae
Source: RefSeq, a predicted model, not a curated record
CAGAAGCAUCUGAUACCCUGAAAGUAUCUCUUCGGAUCCAGCAGGAAGCCAGAUCUACCCUACCUGGUCCAACAUGUCUUUCCUGAAUGACAGUAUGCUGCUGGAAGACUUCUAUGAUCCAGAAAUGGAUGCUCUCUCCAGCCUUGACUCCUUCUCUUAUCAGUAUCCAGGCUGCUACUACCCACAACGUCCACAGUUUCCUGGCCGGAUAUGGCCAUGUCCUCGGGGGUAUCGCCCCAUCACAGGGUGUA